GGAUUGUGGCUCAGCGGUAGAGUGCUCGCCUAGUACAUGCAAAGCCCUGGGUUCGAUCCUCAGCACCA
RNAcentral lists this transfer RNA (68 nucleotides) under Marmota monax (woodchuck). RNAcentral's name for it is "tRNA.Thr". Lineage: Eukaryota; Metazoa; Chordata; Mammalia; Rodentia; Sciuridae. The record is from RNAcentral.